GACGAACGCUGGCGGCGUGCUUAACACAUGCAAGUCGUACGACAGCAUUCCUUUUGGGGGUGUUUGGAGUGGCGAACGGGUGAGUAACACGUGAGUAACCUGCCCUCUUCUUUGGGAUAACGUGCGGAAACGUGCGCUAAUACUGAAUAUUCUUAUUCUGCUGCAUGGUGGGGUGGGGAAAGGACUGUGGGGUCUUUAGGGGCUUUGUGGUUUGGUGGGGGAUGGGCUCGCGGCCUAUCAGCUUUGUUGGUGGGUGAUGGCCUACCAAGGCGU
This 273-nucleotide ribosomal RNA is filed under the name uncultured Actinomycetes bacterium. Its description in RNAcentral is "uncultured actinobacterium partial 16S ribosomal RNA". It matches the Rfam family "Bacterial small subunit ribosomal RNA", at positions 28 to 276 of the family's 1533-position model. The record is from RNAcentral. Lineage: Bacteria; Bacillati; Actinomycetota; Actinomycetes.